Molecule: long non-coding RNA, 424 nt
Filed under: Homo sapiens (human)
Lineage: Eukaryota; Metazoa; Chordata; Mammalia; Primates; Hominidae
Description: HSALNT0361258
Source: RNAcentral
CUAGAUGUCCUCUCACCAGACUGCCCAGUGAAGGUGCUGUCACUUUGAUGAAUUAUCAAGGCUUUGUAGUGGGUCUUCUACUGGACAAAGGACAAACUGGAGACUCCCUGGAUCAAAUGUGUUGAAAAUGUUAUAGUGCUGUCAGGAAGUGCUGUUCUGGAAUACAGAAUGUGGCUGCCGUGAGUGGAGUGUGACUAUGAGAUAGUCGCCUGACUGGAGACAAUGAAGCCUCAGGCCAAGGAUGCUCCCUCCUACUCAGCCCUGUUUAGUGGGAUUUUUCAGCCCACUGUAAAGCCUACUGCUGCCUGUAAAGCCACCUAAGUGCAUCACUUGCUGGUGUUCACCAUGAUAACAACAAUUUAUGGGGACAGAAUAUGUUUCUAGAGCUGCUGGUGCCACUGCUGAUGUUACUGGGUUCCCUGAA